Molecule: long non-coding RNA, 380 nt
Organism: Bufo bufo (common toad)
Lineage: Eukaryota; Metazoa; Chordata; Amphibia; Anura; Bufonidae
Exons: 2
Source: RefSeq, a predicted model, not a curated record
AUUUUAUUUGCAGAAGCACUUCGUUCCUUUGUGUCAGUGACAGUCUUCUUCACUUGCAGGUGCUGUCAGAUGCACGAUUGCUGUUACAGCCGCUUGCUCAGGAUGAAGUGCUAUCCUCUGACUCAGCCUUAUGAAUUCUCCCUCUUCAAUGGGACCAUUACGUGUGAUGAUGAGGAUUUUUACGGGUGCGCAAGGCAGAGCUGCGAGUGUGACCGGGCGGCCGCCGAAUGCUUCGAGAACUUCAAUGACCAAUAUUCCAUAAAAAACAGCUACAACCUCCUUAGGUUAAACUGUUUGAGGAUCCAGCUGCCGUGUUAGAGCUGAAGCUGCGCGGACCCCGAAAAUGUACACUCUGUAUAAUAAACAUUCGUGAUACUGGA